GAUGAACGCUGGCGGCGUGCCUAAUACAUGCAAGUCGAGCGAACAGACGAGGAGCUUGCUCCUCUGACGUUAGCGGCGGACGGGUGAGUAACACGUGGAUAACCUACCUAUAAGACUGGGAUAACUUCGGGAAACCGGAGCUAAUACCGGAUAAUAUAUUGAACCGCAUGGUUCAAUAGUGAAAGACGCUUUUGCUUUCACUUAUAGAUAGAUCCGCGCCGCAUUAGCUAGUUGGUAAGGUAACGGCUUACCAAGGCGACGAUGCGUAGCCGACCUGAGAGGGGGAUCGGCCACACUGGAACUGAGCCACGGUCCAGACUCCUACGGGAGGCAGCAGUAGGGAACCUUCGGCAAUGGGGGAAAGCCUGACGGAGAAACGCGGCGGGAGGGAUGAAGGUCUUCGGAUCGUAAACCUCUGUUAUUAGGGAAGAACAAAUGUGUAAGUAACUAUGCACGUCUUGACGGUACCUAAUCAGAAAGCCACGGCUAACUACGUG
RNAcentral lists this ribosomal RNA (497 nucleotides) under uncultured bacterium. RNAcentral's name for it is "partial 16S ribosomal RNA". It matches the Rfam family "Bacterial small subunit ribosomal RNA", at positions 28 to 507 of the family's 1533-position model. The record is from RNAcentral.